UACGAAGGGGGCAAGCGUUGUUCGGAAUUACUGGGCGUAAAGGGCGCGUAGGCGGCCGAUCAAGUCAGGCGUGAAAUUCCCGGGCUCAACCUGGGGGCUGCGCUUGAUACUGAUUGGCUUGAAUGCGGGAGAGGGUAGUGGAAUUCCCGGUGUAGUGGUGAAAUGCGUAGAUAUCGGGAGGAACACCAGUGGCGAAGGCGACUACCUGGCCUGUUCUUGACGCUGAGGCGCGAAAGCUAGGGGAGCAAACGGG
Molecule: ribosomal RNA, 253 nt
Filed under: uncultured bacterium
Lineage: Bacteria
Description: partial 16S ribosomal RNA
Rfam family: Bacterial small subunit ribosomal RNA
Source: RNAcentral